Long non-coding RNA from Ipomoea triloba (trilobed morning glory), 166 nucleotides. RefSeq lists it as uncharacterized. The transcript is spliced from 3 exons. Lineage: Eukaryota; Viridiplantae; Streptophyta; Magnoliopsida; Solanales; Convolvulaceae. The record is from RefSeq and is a predicted model, not a curated record.
CUCACGUGAGUUCAUCCCCAAGAAACCCUAAGUGGUGAAGGGGAAGCUUGUGAUUAAGUCUAAGGAUUAGGAGGAGAUUUUGCUAGAGGAUGAUAGCAUUUGAGGUUCCCCGUUGACGUGGCUAGUCUAAGAGUUGAGCCUUAGAUCGGAUAGAGUUUAGCUUGGG